AGCAGCCGCCGCGGUAAUACGUAGGGUGCGAGCGUUAAUCGGAAUUACUGGGCGUAAAGCGUGCGCAGGCGGUUGUGUAAGACAGGUGUGAAAUCCCCGGGCUUAACCUGGGAACUGCGCUUGUGACUGCACAGCUAGAGUAUGGCAGAGGGGGGUGGAACUCCACGUGUAGCAGUGAAAUGCGUAGAGAUGUGGAGGAACACCGAUGGCGAAGGCAGCCCCCUGGGCCAAUACUGACGCCCAUGCACGAAAGCGUGGGGAGCAAACAGGAUUAGAUACCCGAGUAGUCCCUGUCUCUUAUAC
This 303-nucleotide ribosomal RNA is filed under the name uncultured bacterium. RNAcentral describes it as "partial 16S ribosomal RNA". It matches the Rfam family "Bacterial small subunit ribosomal RNA", at positions 507 to 807 of the family's 1533-position model. The record is from RNAcentral.